ACAGGUGCGGGCUACCACGCCUGGCUGAUUUUUGUAUUUUUAGUAGAGAAGGGAUUUUGCCAUGUUGGCCAGGCUGAUCUCGAACUCUUGACCUCAGGUGACCCACCCACCUCGGCUUCCCAAAGUGCUGGGAUUAUAGGCGUGAGCCACUGUGCCUGGCCUCAUGCACUUUUCAUUAUAUUUUGCAAUUUACAAAGUUAUGUAGGAGGUGGAAUUCUGGUUUCUGCUGGGGAUGUACAGAGCUUGUCACUCCCACUCUCACAAGAAUAAAGCCAGACAAACCGUAAGUUCUCGACUUUGCUUCAUCCCAUCAGAGACCUGAGGCUGCAGGACAACCAACUGGAAGCUGGGGAGAGACAGGGCCUGCAGGGGAAUGGCAUUGAGCCCUCCCGUCCCUGGGGCAGUCACGGGGCAUCGUUGGCACCCUGAGGCACGGACUUGAAAAAAUGCAUUGAUUCAAGAUGGAAUAAACCGAGUAGGUUUCAGAACAGCCACCCUUGGCCUGGACAGUGCAAGAGCUGCAGAGUGUCACCUCACAGGGCCAGCGGCGACCCAAGACACGGGUGCCUGGAAAGGGGGCUCUCUGCGGGGACAGGGCUCAGAAAGGCUGGACCUGUCCUGAACCACAGAAACAGGGUUCCCUGAACCUCGGCCAUCGUCUACCAUUACGGCGCCCUGUCCAGAUAUAAAGUCAGAAAAUCUCAGAUGCACAAACAUUUUGAAGUAAAAGAUAGUUUCUAAACCAUUACUCAAACCAAUAAAACGUGAAGUGAAAUGAAAUGUGUAAUGUGAAUGAAAAUGCUCC
Molecule: long non-coding RNA, 805 nt
Filed under: Homo sapiens (human)
Lineage: Eukaryota; Metazoa; Chordata; Mammalia; Primates; Hominidae
Description: HSALNT0274350
Source: RNAcentral